AAAACUUUAAUGAUGACAUCUACAUACCCAAUGCAGAAAUAUUAUGUUGAAAUUUACUUAACAUGCAUCACCAUCUGAUUACUAUUUU
Molecule: non-coding RNA, 88 nt
Organism: Drosophila ficusphila
Lineage: Eukaryota; Metazoa; Arthropoda; Insecta; Diptera; Drosophilidae
Source: Rfam